Molecule: ribosomal RNA, 492 nt
Filed under: uncultured bacterium
Lineage: Bacteria
Description: partial 16S ribosomal RNA
Rfam family: Bacterial small subunit ribosomal RNA
Source: RNAcentral
AGUGAACGCUGGCGGUAGGCCUAACACAUGCAAGUCGAACGGCAGCACAGUAAGAGCUUGCUCUUACUGGUGGCGAGUGGCGGACGGGUGAGGAAUACAUCGGAAUCUACUUUUUCGUGGGGGAUAACGUAGGGAAACUUCCGCUAAUACCGCAUACGACCUACGGGUGAAAUCAGGAGAUCUUCGGACCUUGCGCGAUUGAUUGAGCCGAUGUCGGAUUAGCUAGUUGGCGGGGUAAAGGCCCACCAAGGCGACGAUCCGUAGCUGAUCUGAGAGGAUGAUCGGCCACACUGGAACUGAGACACGGUCCAGACUCCUACGGGAGGCAGCAGUGGGGAAUAUUCGACAAUGGGCGCAAGCCUGAUCCAGCCAUACCGCGUGGGUGAAGAAGGCCUUCGGGUCGUAAAGCCCUUUUGUUGGGAAAGAAAAGCAGCAGGUUAAUCCCCCGCUGUUCUGACGGUACCCAAAGAAUAAGCACCGGCUAACUUCGUG